CGCUCCCUCAAUUACUCGACACAAGCUUUGAAGCCUCGAUACAGAACGUCACAUCACUACUUGAUAGCGCAUUAUUUGCUGAUGUGUUUACUGCGCCUAACGACUCGUUAAACUAAGGGAUAAAAUACAUAUCUAUACUUUUGUGUCCCAGCUGAGUAACAGGAGGAGAAGAGUCUGGUGGAGCAGCAGAGGAACAGUUUCAGCCAUUUGGAUUCAGCUCAGCCACUACAGAGGAAACGAUGACUUCAACACAGGAGGACCAACAUGGAGCGAGAAGUCAGCGCUCUCAGGAGGCCG
Maylandia zebra (zebra mbuna) is the source of this 297-nucleotide non-coding RNA. The record is from RefSeq and is a predicted model, not a curated record. Lineage: Eukaryota; Metazoa; Chordata; Actinopteri; Cichliformes; Cichlidae.